Molecule: ribosomal RNA, 254 nt
Filed under: uncultured bacterium
Lineage: Bacteria
Description: partial 16S ribosomal RNA
Rfam family: Bacterial small subunit ribosomal RNA
Source: RNAcentral
UACGGGGGGGGUAAGGCGUUGUUCGGAAUUACUGGGCGUAAAGGGCUCGUAGGCGGCCAACUAAGUCGGACGUGAAAUCCCUCAGCUUAACUGGGGAACUGCGUCUGAUACUGGAUGGCUUGGAUUUGGGAGAGGGAUGCGGAAUUCCAGGUGUAGCGGUGAAAUGACGUAGAUAUCUGGAGGAACACCGGUGGCGAAGGCGGCAUCCUGGACCAACAUUGACGCUGAGGAGCGAAAGCCAGGGAGCAAACGGG